AUAGUCGGGGACGGGUGGUUAAGGCGAUGGAUAAGCAAUCCAUUGGGAUCUUCCCGCGCUGGUUCGAAUCCCAGUGACUACG
Non-coding RNA from Caerostris extrusa, 82 nucleotides. NCBI's taxonomy places the organism in Eukaryota, Metazoa, Arthropoda, Arachnida, Araneae, Araneidae. The record is from the annotation of a GenBank genome assembly.